RNAcentral lists this ribosomal RNA (382 nucleotides) under Baccaurea ramiflora. RNAcentral describes it as "eukaryotic LSU rRNA". The stretch from base 303 to 382 matches the Rfam family "Eukaryotic large subunit ribosomal RNA", at positions 1 to 80 of the family's 3401-position model. Lineage: Eukaryota; Viridiplantae; Streptophyta; Magnoliopsida; Malpighiales; Phyllanthaceae. The record is from RNAcentral.
UCCCGUGAACCAUCGAGUCUUUGAACGCAAGUUGCGCCCGAAGCCCCCGGGCCGAGGGCACGUCUGCCUGGGUGUCACGCAACGUCGCCCCCCACCGACUCCUGCCCCGAACACGAUUGGGCGGCGGAGGAGGGAGCGGAGUAUGGCCUCCCGUUGGCGCAGCCCGCGGUUGGUUGAAAUACGAGUUCCCGGCGCAACGCGUCGCGGCGAUCGGUGGUUGAAAGGCCCCUAAACACCGCCGCGCACCGUGCAAUCCGGACCCUCAAGACCCCGAAGCGUCCGUACGUGGACGCCCCCAUACGCGACCCCAGGUCAGGCGGGACCACCCGCUGAGUUUAAGCAUAUCAAUAAGCGGAGGAAAAGAAACUUACCAGGAUUCCCU